RNAcentral lists this long non-coding RNA (4130 nucleotides) under Macaca mulatta (Rhesus monkey). Its description in RNAcentral is "lncRNA (ENSMMUG00000063878.1)". The record is from RNAcentral. Lineage: Eukaryota; Metazoa; Chordata; Mammalia; Primates; Cercopithecidae.
AUGGCCAAGCGCCGCCGCCCAAAGAAGCGGCGGAGGGCGGGGGAAGAGGACGGCCGUUCCGGGUUCCGCCUGAGCCCGCAGCGCAGGACAAGGAGGCAGGAGCGGCGCGGUGAGAGAGAGGCAGAUGAAGGGGAGGCGACGUCUCUUCCAGGGCCGUGCGAGGCCCAGGACGCCGGGGCCCCGGAGGACGAGGACGACGAGGAGCAGGCGGUGGCGGCAGCUCCUCACGCUCACACGGCCACUGCUUCCCCGCCUCCCGGCUCCGCCCGCCGCGCCGCCGCUGUCGCACGGCAUGCUGGGAGCGAGGGGCGGGGUCGGCGCCUGCCGGGCCUGGGGAGAGAGGCGGGUCCUGUCGGCGGCGGGGCGGGGCCGAGAGAGGCGGGGCCGAUAGCAGGCCGCCCCGCCCCCCACGUCCCCUGGCUCGUCAACUGCGCCGAAGUCUGGGCACCGCGAUGACGAAUCCUGGGACAGGGGAUCUCCACUACCGCGGCCACACACUUUUCUCCCAAACGCUCCCGGGAAAACACCGGACCCCUGAGGGCCGGGCAGUCAGGUGUAAACAGGCGUCCAAUCCAGGACCUGCAGUGGGGGGGGGGGGGCUGGUACCCUGGGGUGCGCGCGCACACAGGCGUGCCCUUGAAUUCACGUGCGCCAGUCUUCCCACUGUCUACGGGGCGGGGUGGAAAGUGAAAAUAGUAAGAUCGAGAGGAGGUUGAUAUCUACCUUCCCAACCUCCACCUGAAAUGUGCCCAUUGAGUCCUGGCACCUUUUACCAUUUCUUCACAAUGAAAAAAACUAAAUGAUGGAAGGGAAGGGAGUAUCCAAGACCACCAAGCCCUGUCCUCUGCAAUGUGAAAUGUGCUUUGAAGCCCUCUCACCCUAAGGCUUGCCCGUCUUCUGCUGCUGAAAGAAGCUGGAGGCCCGGCGCGGUGGCUUAAGCCUGUACCCAGCACUUUGGGAGGCCGAGGUGGGCGGAUCAUCUGAGUUGAGGAGUUCCACACCAGCCUGGCCAACAUGGGGAAAACCGGCCUCCACUAAAAAUACAAAAAGUAGCCGGGCACGGUGGUGGGCGCCUGUAAUCCCAGCUACUCGGGAGGCUGAAACAGGGGAAUCGCUUGAACCCAGUAGGCCAAGGUUGCAGUGAGCCGAGAUCAGGCCAUUGCAGUCCAGCCUGGGCAACAAGAGCGAAAUUCUGUCUCAAAAAAAUAAAAGAAGAGAGAGCGAGAGAGAGGAAGGAAGGAAGGAAGGGAGGGAGGGAGGGAGGGAGGGAGGAAGGAAGGAAGGAAGGAAGGAAGGAAGGAAGGAAGGAAGGAGAGAGAAAGGAGGAAGGGAGGGAAGGAAGGAAGAAAGAAAGAAGGAAGGAGAGAAAGAAAAAGAAAGAAAGGAAAGAAAGAAAGAAAAGAAAGAGCGGCCGGGCACGGUGGCUCACGCCUGUAAUCCCAACACUUUGGGAGGCCAAGGCGGGCAGAGCAGGAGGUCAGGAGAUAGAGACCAUCCUCCCUAACAACCAUCUCUACUAAAAAUACAAAAAAAUUAGCCGGGCGUGGUGAUGGGCGCCUGUAGUCCCAGCUACUCAGGAGGCUGAGGCAGGAGAAUGGCGUGAACCCGGGAGGCGCAGCUUGCAGUGAGCCGAGAUCACGCCACUGCACUCUAGCCUGGGCGACACAGCGAGACUCCGAGAAAGAAAGAAAGAGAGAAAGAAAGAGAGAGAGAGAGACAGAGAGAGAGAGAGAGAGGAAGGAAGGAAGGAAGGAAGGAAGGAAGGAAGGAAGGAAGGAAGGAAGGAAGGAAGGAAGAAGCUGGGAGGAAGGAAGGAGCUGGGAGGGAGGGAGGAAGGAAGGAAGGAAAGAAGGAAGGAAGGAAAGAAGGAAGAAGCUGGGAGGAAGGAAGGAGCUGGGAGGAAGGAAGGAAGGAAGGAAGGAAGGAGCUGGGUAGAGGAGACAUACCUGACCGUCUACCCCAUGACAUGCCCCAUGCCCUAGGGAAAAAAUUCCCUAAAGCAUCUGAUGCAUAACGUGAAUGCAUACACAUUUUUUAAAAGGUGGGCCAGGAUGCUCCUUAAACCUGUAUCUAAACCUUAUCUGCAUAAGGAGUCUUAACCUAUCAUUUUAUGUUGCAAAGAAAACGUCUUUAUAUAUCACUUGUGCAAUUAAAAAUUUUUACCAAAAGUACUUGAAGAUUAUGAGGAGUUGAUACCUCCACACACACGCAUAUCCCCUCCACCUUGGACUCCUUAUGACCACCAAUCCCUCACUAAGGGAGGAUCCUGCUGGUUCUAAAUGAUGAGGACUACAAAAAAUACAAAAAUUAGCCAUCGUGGUAGCGCGUGCCUGUGGUCCCAGGAACUCCCGAGGGUGAGGCAGGAGAAUGACUUGAGUCCAGCAGGUGGAGGCUGCAGUGACCUAUGAUCCUGACACUGCACUCCAGCCUGGGCUACAAAGGGAAGGAAGGGAGGGAGGGAGGCCGCACGGAGGGAGAAGAAGAACAAGAAAAGACGGGCCACCAUGCGUGGCUGACCCUGUAAUCCCAGCAUUUUGGGAGGCUGAGAUGGGUGGAUCACUUGAGGUCAGGAGACCAGCCUGGCAAACAUGGUGAAACCCCAUCUACCAAAAAAAUACAAAAAUUAGCCAGGCAUGUUGGCAGCAUGCCUGUAGUCCCAGCUACUCAGGGAAGCAGAGGCCCGAGAAUUGCUUGAACCCGGGAGCCAGAGGUUGCAGUGAGCCGAGAUCGUGCUACUGAACUCCAGCCUGGGUGACAGAGUAAGACUCUGUCUCAAAAAAAAAAAAAAGAAAGAAAGAAAAAAAGAAAAGAAAAUCAUUUGGGUGAAGUGAUUCAUGCCUGUAAUCCCAGUGAUGGGAGGCUGAGACUGGAAGAUCCUUGAGCCUGGGAGUCGUAGGCCAGCCUGAGCAACAUAGCAAGACCCCCAUUUCUACAAAAAAAUGUUAAUUUUUUUUUUUUUUUUUUUUUUUGGUUUCACUCUUGUUGCCCAGGCUGGAGUGCAAUGGCCUGGUCUCAGCUCACUGCAACCUAGGCCUCCCAGGUUCAAGCAUGUCUACUGCCUCAGCCUCCCAAGUAGCUGAGAUUACAGGCACAUGCCUCCACACCCGGCUAAUUUUGCAUAAAAAUUUUAAAAUUUUUAAAUUAGACAAGUAAGAAAUUGCUUGAGCCACUGGACACAAUCUCUGGUACUACCUUUCUUUUUUUUUUUUUCUCCGUCUGUGGCCUAGGCUAGAGUGCAGUGGCAAGAUCUUGGCUCUGCCUCCUGAGUUCAAGCCAUUCUCCUGUCUCAGCCUCCCGAGUAGCUGGUACUACAGGCGCCCACCACCACACCUGGCUAAUUUUUUUUUUUUUUUUUUUUUUUUUUGUAUUUUUAGUGGAGACGGGGUUUCACCGUGUUACCCAGGAUGGUCUCGAUCUCUUGACCUCCUGAUCCGCCUGCCUGGGCCUCCGAAAGUGCUGGAAUUACAGGCGUGAGCCUGUAAAAAGAGACGCCGGCCCUCUUUUUCUUUAUUGGUCAAAAUAUUAUCCAACUAGGCAUAUGGAUAUGGAGCACAUGCCUGUGAUCCCAAUUACUUGGGAGGCUGAGGUGGGAGAAUCGCUUGAGCCCAGGAGUUUCAGGCUGUGGUGAGUCAUAAUGGUGCCUCUGCAUUCCAGCCUGGGCAACAGGAUGAGACCAUUUUUAAGGGGGCAGAAAAAAUCACUCUGGCUGUGGCAGAUUUCCUUAGGAUAGAUUCCCAGAAGUGGAAUUAUUGGGAAAAGGCUAUUAAUGACUUUAAGUCUUUGGAUACAGACUGUUAAGUUGCUUUCCAGGAAGUUUCUACCAAUGAUACUCUGAUACUUUCUGUGUCCUCACACCACCCUUUGUCAACACUGAAUGUUUUUGAGGGUUAAUUAUUUCUAUGGGAGAAGUUAAAAAAAAAAAAAAAGACAACAAAGAAAUUGCUUCAGGUGGGGCGUGGUGGCUCAUGCCUGUAAUCCCAGCACUUUGGGAGGCUGAGGUGAGAGAAUCACCUGAGCCCCGGAGGUGGAGGUUGCAGUGAGCCUAGAUCAUGCCACUGCACUCCAGCCUGGGUGACAGAGCGAGACUCCAUCUCGAUAAAAUAAAUCAAAUGAAUCAAACGUGAGCAACU